RNAcentral lists this transfer RNA (81 nucleotides) under Apaloderma vittatum (bar-tailed trogon). It matches the Rfam family "tRNA". Rfam says of the family: Transfer RNA (tRNA) molecules are approximately 80 nucleotides in length. Their secondary structure includes four short double-helical elements and three loops (D, anti-codon, and T loops). The record is from Rfam by way of RNAcentral. Lineage: Eukaryota; Metazoa; Chordata; Aves; Trogoniformes; Trogonidae.
GACCAGUUAGCUCAGUGGUUUGAGCGCAGUGCUGACAACAAUGACAACGCUGAUGUCGCGGGUUCGAUUCCCUCUCGGUCC